GUACCAACCCCACAUUAGGUACUGCGCACGUGGGCUAAUGAAACAUUUUAAAAACCACUUGUUGUCACCUCUUCAUAGCUCAGCUUUCUCUCAAUGACUGGUUUUGUUUCUCAGCUGUUGUCCUGCUUUCCCUUUACAUGGCUGACUUCACUUUGGAGUUAUCUUGGAUGUCGUCUUCUCCAGAAAGCUUUUCUAGAUCCUUCACCCCCAAAUCGGAGUGUGAUACCAGACCCAUGCACUUCCAUGACAACAGUCCAUCUCAUUUUCCUAACCCCAGGCCAGUGUGCCGAAGUGCACACUGCCUGUCUCCGCUCGGGCACUCUGCAGUGACCUGUACCAGCAUGGACCACCAUGAACUUGGACGAAACCAGCAUCUACUCAGCUACUCAAGGCAGAAAUACAUUAAUCUUCACUUUUAUCAUCCUCAUCUCUCACAAGAUCAUCCAGGCAACUUCACAUCCAGUUCCCUUGUCCAAGCCACAAUCUCUUCUGUUUAAAAUGCUGCAGUUGUUGUCACUUAAGCGCUGCAUGUAUCAUUCCUAACUUCGCUCCACAAGUCUUUCUCCUUUCUGAAGUCAAAAUGAUUGUUGUGAAGUCCAAACCUGAGUGUUGU
This 613-nucleotide long non-coding RNA is filed under the name Fukomys damarensis (Damara mole-rat). RNAcentral's name for it is "lncRNA (ENSFDAG00000026099.1)". Lineage: Eukaryota; Metazoa; Chordata; Mammalia; Rodentia; Bathyergidae. The record is from RNAcentral.